Long non-coding RNA from Pantherophis guttatus, 292 nucleotides. RefSeq lists it as uncharacterized. The record is from RefSeq and is a predicted model, not a curated record. Lineage: Eukaryota; Metazoa; Chordata; Lepidosauria; Squamata; Colubridae.
AGCAACGGCUUGUAAUCAUCAUGAACAUCAAUCAGAACAAAUACCAACCUACCAGCAAUACAAUAAUGAGCAAGAAAGAUCUGGGACAGUAUUCUAGAAUUCCUAGAAAUUGAGAAGUGUAUUGAAAUCUGGCUUUACUUCCAUAAACAGAUAAUUCCCAACAUCUGAAAAAUGAAGGUAUUCGGUGAACAUUUGGAAUCCACACUAAUGUCAAUCAUAUGAAUGGAAUUAGAAAAAGAUGGACCAUUCUGAGAAAAACUACAGAAAAAUUAGAAAAACGCAUCUCUCAUAC